Molecule: transfer RNA, 73 nt
Filed under: Listeria monocytogenes
Lineage: Bacteria; Bacillati; Bacillota; Bacilli; Caryophanales; Listeriaceae
Description: tRNA-Lys
Rfam family: tRNA
About the family: Transfer RNA (tRNA) molecules are approximately 80 nucleotides in length. Their secondary structure includes four short double-helical elements and three loops (D, anti-codon, and T loops).
Source: RNAcentral
GAGCCGUUAGCUCAGUGGGGAGAGCAUCUGACUUUUAAUCAGAGGGUCGCUGGUUCGAACCCAGCACGGCUCA